UGUCCCAGUUCGGACUGGAGUCUGCAACCCGACUCCACGAAGUUGGAUUCGCUAGUAAUCGCGCAUCAGCCAUGGCGCGGUGAAUACGUUCCCGGGCCUUGUACACACCGCCCGUCAAGCCAUGGGAGCCGGGGGCGCCUGAAGUCCGGGACCGCGAGGACCGGCCUAGGGCGAAACUGGUAACUGGGGCUAAGUCGUAACAAGGUAUC
RNAcentral lists this ribosomal RNA (209 nucleotides) under uncultured bacterium. RNAcentral's name for it is "partial 16S ribosomal RNA". It matches the Rfam family "Bacterial small subunit ribosomal RNA", at positions 1284 to 1500 of the family's 1533-position model. The record is from RNAcentral.